UACGUAGGGGGCAAGCGUUGUCCGGAUUUACUGGGCGUAAAGAGCGCGUAGGCGGAAGCUUAAGUGUGGCCUGAAAGCCCCCGGCUCAACCGGGGAGGGUGGCUGCAAACUGGGCUUCUUGAGGGCGGCAGAGGAGAGUGGAAUUCCAGGUGUAGCGGUGAAAUGCGUAGAUAUCUGGAGGAAUACCGGUGGCGAAGGCGGCAUCCUGGACCGGCAUUGACGCUGAGUGAGCGAAAGCCAGGGGAGCAAACGGG
RNAcentral lists this ribosomal RNA (254 nucleotides) under uncultured bacterium. Its description in RNAcentral is "partial 16S ribosomal RNA". It matches the Rfam family "Bacterial small subunit ribosomal RNA", at positions 524 to 776 of the family's 1533-position model. The record is from RNAcentral.